Molecule: long non-coding RNA, 1633 nt
Organism: Pistacia vera
Lineage: Eukaryota; Viridiplantae; Streptophyta; Magnoliopsida; Sapindales; Anacardiaceae
Exons: 2
Source: RefSeq, a predicted model, not a curated record
CAGUUUGAAGCUUCUUACUUCGUUCGGAAUAUUAGAGAAAGAAUUAGAGAAAAGCGAGGGAUUACAUGACUUGUGCCAAAGACUUCGUUUUACAGUUUUAGGAUAUAAACAUCCCAAUAUUGGAUUCACCUUGGAAAGGAAAAGGCUUGGUCGUGUUCUUAUUGUGUUUGAUGAUGUGACAAAUUUAGAACCAAUGGAAGAUUUUGACUACUUGGACUCUAAAGUCGAAUAAUCAUAACGACAAGGGAUGAACAAGUUCUAAAAGAAUGUGGAGCGAAUCCCAUACACUUAGUUAAGAUGGAAGAAUUAUCUAGUAAUGAAGCUUUUCAAGUUUUUAACCGAAAUGCUAGCCAUGAGCAUUCCCCAUUCAGUAUUAGUCCCAACACUGGUUACAAGCAUGACGUCGUUGCCAUCUGCAACCUUGUAGCCAGACAUCAGAAAUGGGUCCUUCGAGUCCUUGUGAAAAAUUUUGCUCUCUCUAGUCAUGCUGGAUUCAUCAAUGGAAAGUGAAUGACCAGAAAUAACAACUCCAUCAGUAGGGACCUGAUCACCAAUGUUGAGGGGCACAACAUCACCAACAACGAUAUCAUAUAUUGAGACAUCAAUUCUUCUACUGCCUCUAAUGACCUCCAAAUUUUCCGUAUUUGUUUACUGAAAGGAGCUGACAUGUUCGGAUCCUGAAAGGAGCUGACAUGUUCGGAUCCUGAAAGGAGCUGACAUGUUCGGAUCCUGAAAGGAGCGAGCUACACUUAAGUGAAACUUGCAGGUUUGUCAUGUUUCUCUUUACUAUAUAUUUGGGUGAAUCCAUGCCAUGCCCUGUCCUGUGCUCUGCCAUUUGAAGUGCUAUUAUUGCUUCAUGUUAAGCAUGCUUAUGGUGAAGGCAUAGCCUUCUUUUUUCUUUCAAAUAAAAAACUCAUUGGUGCAAAGCAUGAGGGAAUGCUAGACAUUUGAUAAUUUCUCCUCUGACAAAUUGAUCAUCCCAUGCAUAUUGUUUGCACAUUUGAUCACACAAAUUGCAUUGUAUCAUAAAUAGCUGAUCUUUUUAUGAAUUAUUCAUUCAAUUCCUGAAUUUUGGAAUUGCCUCUUUCUGAUGCUGGUCAGUUUGCAGCCCUCCCCGAUGACUGAAAAGAAAGUCAAAAACUGCAAAAACACGCCCAACCUUUCAUCUUAGAAGGAGAUGUUCAUUACUCUGUAGAAGGAGCUAACCAAGUAAUGAAAGAAGUUCAUGCUGGCCAACAAUGGAAGACAAUGCGACUUGCUUUGUUCAGAAUUGCCAAAUUUACAGUGAUCAUUUCAGUCUGGCUUGAUCUCCAGUGCGCAUUCUAAUGAUAAGCUUUUAGCUUAGCAUGUGGACAUAUUCUGAUGGCUGGCAUUCUGAAAUCACUGAUUUUCUUCCCUGGAUUACGGAUUAUAUCACCGAACUAUUUAAUUAGAUAUGUUAGAUGAAGGCUACCGCUAUGUAAUCUUUUACUGCCGGAUGCUUUCUGUGUGGUACUUCAACAUAGUUACUAUGAAAUGUUGCAAGCGUCAUGUGUGGUUUUUUGGGAUAUGAAAUGAUGUUGAUUGUUGUUUCUACUCUUGUAAGCUGCUAUCAACUGGGUAUUGUUUUCUAUGUGAAACACCGGUUUGUUUA